AGAGAGAGAGGGAUGAGAGGAGGGACAGAGAGAGAGGGGUGAGAGGAGGGACAGAGAGAGAGGGAUGAGAGGAGGGACUGAGAGAGCGGGGGGUGAGAGGAGGGACAGAGAGAGAGAGGGAUGAGAGGAGGGACAGAGAGAGAGAGGGAUGAGAGGAGGGACAGAGAGAGAGGGGUGAGAGGAGGGACAGAGAGAGAGAGGGGUGAGAGGAGGGACAUAGAGAGAGAGGGGUGAGAGGAGGGACAGAGAGAGAGAGGGGUGAGAGGAGGGACAUAGAGAGAGAGGGAUGAGAGGAGGGACAGAGAGAGAGCGGUGAGAGGAGGGACAGAGAGAGCGGGGUGAGAGGGGGGUCAGAGAGAGAGGGGUGAGAGGAGGGACAGAGAGAGAGGGGUGAGAGGAGGGACAGAGAGAGAGGGAUGAGAGGAGGGACAGAGAGAGAGGGAUGAGAGGAGGGACAGAGAGAGAGAGAGAGAGAGAGAGAGAGAGAUGAGAGGAGGGACAGAGAGAGAGGCCUGAGAGAGACAGCUGAGAUCAAAAGGAUGAGAUGGAGAGAAAGGGCUGUAAAAGAGCCAGAUUGACACGAGUCGAUAAGUGAAAACUACAUCCCCCACACUCACCUGAAGUCAUUCUGGCCUUCUCUGAGCUCUUUUCUCCUUCCUCCUCUCUCUUCUGUAGGCUGUGUGUGUGUUUCCUAAUGGGUACCAUGCCCUGCCCACCCUUCUCCUGGGGGUGCCGGUCUGCCAGUGCCAGGACUGGGGGUGAACAUCGCCAACCCUCACCCUCUCUGGCACCAUCUCUAGCCCCCUCCCAGGUCUCCUGCCCUGGAUACAGGCUCUCUCUCUGGCCCCCACACCUCUGGAGGACUGGGACUCUGUUGUUCCCAUAGUCCUGCCUUCCACCUAGACCAGGGAGGAAGAUAAAGAGAGGAGAGAAGGGAAGCGGAGGAGAGAGAAGCCAUGGAGAGAGGUGAGAGAUGGUGUGUGAUGAGAGAGUGAGGGAAAGAGAGGUGAGAGAUGGUGGGUGAUGAGAGAGUGAGGGAAAGAGAGGUGAGAGAUGGUGGGUGAUGAGAGAGUGAGGGAAAGAGAGGUGAGAGAUGGUGGGUGAUGAGAGAGUGAGGGAAAGAGAGGUGAGAGAUGGUGGGUGAUGAGAGAGAGAGGGA
This is a long non-coding RNA of Oncorhynchus tshawytscha (Chinook salmon), 1159 nucleotides long. The record is from Ensembl. NCBI's taxonomy places the organism in Eukaryota, Metazoa, Chordata, Actinopteri, Salmoniformes, Salmonidae.